Molecule: long non-coding RNA, 1108 nt
Filed under: Scleropages formosus (Asian bonytongue)
Lineage: Eukaryota; Metazoa; Chordata; Actinopteri; Osteoglossiformes; Osteoglossidae
Description: lncRNA (ENSSFOG00015031333.1)
Source: RNAcentral
GUCGCUGCCGCCACCACCACCAUGCUGUGCAACAAGGAGCGGACCGGUUACCAGGGGGGCGGCGGGAGAGCGCGAGGCGGCGCGCGGAGCAGCGCCCGGGAGAGGAAGCCCAUGUCCCUCCGCAUAAAUCAGGUAAAGGAGGUAAACGCGGCUCUCGAGCGCUGUCGUUGCUCUAGGAAGACGCGGCGUUUCCCGCGGAUUAACGCAAAGAGAGGAAACGGCGAGGCGGUAAGUGGCUGUAGCUGUGCCGUCGCUGCGCUUCCGCGGUGUGGAUCAGGCAGCACCGACUGCGCGGCGGAUCCCAUCACAACAGACGAUCCAGUAGUCGAGCCGCGAUACGGAGAGGACUGAUGCGGGAUGAACACGUGCAGCGAGCGCAAGCUACGCACGCGGCUGUGCUCCGACAGUCCGUCAGUAGCGUGCGUCGGUGCCUCGGGAAGCCGCUGCUCGAACGACACGUACGGAGACCCAUGAGUCUCGGGCUGUUCUCACAUCUUCACGUUCGCUACCGUGUCUAGUGAACGAGACCAAAGUGCAGCAGAAGCUCAGGUGGCCUCGAGGGGCUCCGUGUCGGUGGGCGGCCGGACGGACGGACGGACGGACGGACUGACGGUAUUGGCGGCGCUGUCCUUUCAGCACCAGCUGUCCGUCCUUCUCGGCUUCUAUUCCCUCCCGCGAAAUGAUGACACAGAUGAGGUAGCGGCUCUCUGACACAGGUGCCUCGUAGCGUCGCACUGGCCUCCUGUCCUUAUUAUAACCGUAAACAUGUUUCCUGCUCUCUUGUCGGUUAAAGUUCCCCUCUGAACGUCAAACGCGCAAUUAAACGAAGAAGGCGAACAGUUCUACAUGUAAUUAAUGCAGCAUAUUUGGUCGCCGCGCCUGCGAAAUACUGCGCCAAUCAUUGUUCAUGUUCACGCGAUCCAUCCACACCACGUUCAGCGAUGCGCCACUUUAACGCAUCAAGCGAAGUGGCCGAGCUCACGCGCGCGCACCUGAAGGCUGAAAUGAGGGCUGCUGUCGUGCAACAAACGACAGUGAUCCCUGUUCUUAAUCAGUAGUUACCACCCCGCAGCUGAACGACAAGGAUAUAAAACGUAUCGUUAUUUUA